RNAcentral lists this ribosomal RNA (350 nucleotides) under uncultured bacterium. RNAcentral's name for it is "bacterial SSU rRNA". It matches the Rfam family "Bacterial small subunit ribosomal RNA", at positions 8 to 354 of the family's 1533-position model. The record is from RNAcentral.
AGAGUUUGAUCAUGGCUCAGAUUGAACGCUGGCGGCAGGCCUAACACAUGCAAGUCGAGCGGUAGCACAGGAGAGCUUGCUCUCCGGGUGACGAGCGGCGGACGGGUGAGUAAUGUCUGGGAAACUGCCUGAUGGAGGGGGAUAACUACUGGAAACGGUAGCUAAUACCGCAUAACGUCUUCGGACCAAAGUGGGGGACCUUCGGGCCUCACGCCAUCAGAUGUGCCCAGAUGGGAUUAGCUAGUAGGUGGGGUAAUGGCUCACCUAGGCGACGAUCCCUAGCUGGUCUGAGAGGAUGACCAGCCACACUGGAACUGAGACACGGUCCAGACUCCUACGGGACGCAGCAG